CCUCAGAUCUGAGCAUUUUCCUGCCUCGGGAGCCUCCAAUUCCGUGCUUAAAAUAACCCAAACUGUGUCGGGGGAGGGCGCAGAGCGGCAGCAGGAAGCGGCGGGCCCAGCUCCCGGGCACUGUCGGCAUACGCGGGAAUCGAGUCGGCUCUGGAUGCAGGAAGUAUGAAUGAGUGGCAGCAGAAAAGUCCUUUAGAGUGGGAAACGUAUUUGGACAAACUGGUGAAAGUUGCUGUAGUUGAGCAACAUGAAUAUGAAGGAUGGGUCUUAACAGUUGAUCCAGUUUCUGCUAGUAUUGUCCUCGCAACAUUCCCGGAGAAUGAAAGUGUGUCCAUAUCAGUUGUCUUGGGCCACGCUGUCGAGGAGGUAGAAAUACUGAAAGAAGCGGAUGAUGAAAUGAAGCAACGCCUUUCUUGCAUAUUUGAACCUGAAGAAAGCAAAGCCUACAGCCCAGAGGAACUUGAAAAGAGGAAGAACAACUUGAAGAAUUGGCUAGAAACAAACCACAUCCCCAUAACAGAGCAAGGCGAAUCGGGAAAGACGCUGUGUGUGGCAGGGGUAUUGACUAUUGACCCACCAUAUGGCCCAGAAGAGUGCAGCAGCUCCAAUGAGAUUAUUCUGUCUCGAGUUCAAGGUUUAAUACAGGGCUAUCUUGAGAAAAACCAAUGAUGUCUGCUGUUUAAAGCAGUUGCCUUUGGGAAUGAGUGUACCUGGCCUAUUUUAGGAACUGUCUGGGGUAUAAAUAUUUGCAAAAAUGCUGAGUUUAGAUACUUUUGUCUGAUUUUUGUAUGUUAAGAAAGGGUUAAACCAAGCAGUAGAAACUAAAACCAUGAAGCUUUUUUUCCCCUGCACUGUUUUUUACUAAAUACAAGCUGUUGGGUAAUGAUAAUGUAUUAAACUGAUGAUGUAAGUUUACUGUAUCAGGAAUAAGAUAAUGUAUCAGUUGAAUAGCUAUUUUUUUAACAGUAUUGUGCAAGAUGAUAUAUGAUAAAUUUAAACUGUGUUUUCUUCUGCGUUUAAAAUUAAUCUAAUUAUCCAGUGGUGUAGACAUGUUUACCAAACCAGAUGAAAAAAUUGUUCUGUUCUUGUUUUUUUUCCCCACAACUGUUCUCCCAAUUUACAACAUGUAUUAUAAUGUAGGUCCAAGUUUUUAAAAUUAUUAGGGAAAGAUAGCAGGCAAAGAGUAGGUUUUUAAAACAUUUCCUAUCUAUCCUUGUUAUUUUAUAGCAGCAGUGAUUGGAAGACUUGUUUCAUAGAAGAAUUCUGUGCAAUUCAAUGUUUCUGUUUCCUGAUGCUUUGGUUUUAUCUUUUGGCAGCACACAAUGCAAGAAUCAUUGUGUUAUUAUUCCUGAGAUUGUUAAUAUACAGCCCUUGUAUAUUGAUUAUAUACAGCCCUUAUAUUGAUUUGUUCUGUCUUGAGAUCACACCAAAACAUGCGUGAUCAAAUGCACUUUGGAAGCCUGCCUAACCCUUGUUAAUAA
Melopsittacus undulatus (budgerigar) is the source of this 1481-nucleotide RNA transcript. It is a transcript of the gene named gem nuclear organelle associated protein 6, with no coding region annotated. The transcript is spliced from 4 exons. NCBI's taxonomy places the organism in Eukaryota, Metazoa, Chordata, Aves, Psittaciformes, Psittaculidae. The record is from RefSeq and is a predicted model, not a curated record.